Long non-coding RNA from Rana temporaria (common frog), 676 nucleotides. RefSeq lists it as uncharacterized. The transcript has 4 exons. The record is from RefSeq and is a predicted model, not a curated record. Lineage: Eukaryota; Metazoa; Chordata; Amphibia; Anura; Ranidae.
CAAGGCGAUACGGAUUGUCAAACAUGACAGAGGAAGAAAAAGGGAAAGGAAGUUUUAUUAUUCAGAGGAGAAUUUAGAUUAUAAAUUGGGAGGUGCAGAUAUCUAUGAGUCUUUGAAGGGGUAGGGAGAGCAAGAGGGACAGGUAGGUGCCCAAAAAGGGACCAGCCCAGGAUUAACCCUCUACCACUUAUGGGAAAUCCCGGAUAUUGGUAGUGACACCCGGCCAUAUAUCCAAGCCAAAGGAUACAAUAAUGGACAAAAAUAGUUCAGUGGACUCUGCCUUCAUUGCAGACCGUAUCCCUCAACACCUACCAGCACCCAGGGUGUUUGCAUUGUAUAUGCACCUUGAUGAUCCAGCUGUCCUUAUACCUUAUGAUAGUUGCCUCAGAAUUGUAUUCGAUUCCUUUCUCUGAAUUUCAGCUGCCAUAUUGAGGCCAAACUGUUUCAUCUUGUCUUUGAUUGGGCUACCUCACUAGGUCGUAUGCAGUACUUUGGAGCUUUGUCUUUGAGAUGAUCAAGUCCUAAAACCCCUGAAGAAGCCUAAGGGCGAAACUAGUAGGGUAGUCUUGUUCAAGAGAAAAAAUAAUUGUCUCCAUAAUUAGCUCCCACCAAUGAAUGUUACUAAUUUAUUUUAAACUUUGUAUAAAUUGAAUAAAAUUUUCUAUUUUUGAUAUAA